UUGCGAAUGCCUUUCGUGUUGUUGACCCGAUUCGGAUCUCCGGAAUCAAGAUGAGGGUUGCAUGGUCGCAUUGGACACUCCACUGGAUGCCCGUGCUACGAUGGCCGUUCCUGAGGAAUACGAAUCGGCCCUAGGGCGGGGAGUUGCCCCUCUGGUGUGAUUGUCUGGUCAAACGCAAUCGCUUAGCUACACAGGGCGUGUUGGCUUGCCAGGCUAGAUACUAAACCAUUCUCGAAAUUCGGCACUCUUAGAACAGGGUCGCAUGGGUGUGGAUUCGGUUCUAGGGAGGAGAACUGUGGAUAUCAUGACCAGGUUGGGGCUGUGGAACAUCUUGUGCGUGUUGCCCGAUGAGACGGUGGAUCAUCGUCACCGUGACUGGACCGAGGAUGCCAUGGAGCAGCCGAGGACUUCCCACGACAGCAGAGACUUGGGUUCUUGGACAGACGUUAGGAAUGUAAAGGCUUCCGCUGCAGGUGGGGUGUUUGAAGUUGCAGGAGGAUAGACACGGUGAACUGCUUCAGUGGGGGUGCGCACAUGCUUGCAUGAUUCCGAGCUGGUGCCACUAAUUUGAUUGUGCACCCAGAUAUGGCGACAACGGGAGCUCAGAAACAAGGAGCAUCGACAGUGCAACCUCUGAACUCACUCCCUGCGCACUUCCUUCCUCGACGGAGCUACUGACGUCGAUAGCUGCAAUGACCCCACGUCGCCAGUCGUUGCCUGCAUUGGACAGGUGAAGAAGAAUAAGUCGAACACGCCGCUCGUCACGGCGAUCAAAACGGCAAUGGGAACAUCAGACGCUGUACCCGAUCUGCGGAGCUAGAAAUCAAAGCGAGAGAGGUCUGAGAGUGUGGUGGACUCGUCUACGACGCUGUCCAAAUGGCGACAAAUUCUGGGCGCAAGAGUGGCGGCAAUGCCCAGGACACAGACCCGCCAGGAAGUGGAGUUUCACGUGGAUCUGGACAGGUUCAGCUCGGCUAGCCCCGCCAUCGCCAGACCUGCUGCUUUGUCCACCUCAAAGCAAACGCAGUAUCACAGCAGUAGAGCUUCAUGGUUUAAACACAUCAGAACAGGGAACAAUAACAAGGUUUAGUUACUAGUUGUUACUUCACAGUCAGUUUUAGAAAAGAACCCGUUUCAAGUGCAAUUGCAAUAUCGGUGGAUUUGUUGUAAAAGGAUGUUCUUAACUGUUCAUUUCGAAAUUUCAUUCCCAAUUAUUUAUUUUUUUACA
Non-coding RNA from Physcomitrium patens, 1228 nucleotides. Lineage: Eukaryota; Viridiplantae; Streptophyta; Bryopsida; Funariales; Funariaceae. The record is from RefSeq and is a predicted model, not a curated record.